CAAGUCUCAUCAGAAAAUGAUAAAUCUGCCAGACUGAUCUGAGUUCCAGCCUGUACAAAAAUAAAGGGACAAGUCUGAAGUUCUUUUCCGACACCUUGGAAAAAUGUAUCCUGAGAAGCACAAAGCAAUUAACAGCAAGCUUUCAAGCUACAGUGCCCUAAAUUCACCUGUCUCAUAUAUGGAAGAAUACUAAAACAGACGUCAAUACCCAAAUACACUAGAAAUGAGUUUCUCUUGUUCAAAUCCUGAGUUGAAUUAAAAGUCUUGACUUUAAUAAAAGCUUUAUUGAAAGUGA
This is a long non-coding RNA of Meleagris gallopavo (turkey), 295 nucleotides long. RefSeq lists it as uncharacterized. The record is from RefSeq and is a predicted model, not a curated record. Lineage: Eukaryota; Metazoa; Chordata; Aves; Galliformes; Phasianidae.